Molecule: ribosomal RNA, 495 nt
Filed under: Mammaliicoccus lentus
Lineage: Bacteria; Bacillati; Bacillota; Bacilli; Caryophanales; Staphylococcaceae
Description: bacterial SSU rRNA
Rfam family: Bacterial small subunit ribosomal RNA
Source: RNAcentral
UUUGAUCCUGGCUCAGGAUGAACGCUGGCGGCGUGCCUAAUACAUGCAAGUCGAGCGAACAGAUGAGAAGCUUGCUUCUCUGAUGUUAGCGGCGGACGGGUGAGUAACACGUGGGUAACCUACCUAUAAGACUGGGAUAACUCCGGGAAACCGGGGCUAAUACCGGAUAAUAUAUUGAACCGCAUGGUUCAAUGUUGAAAGACGGUUUCGGCUGUCACUUAUAGAUGGACCCGCGCCGUAUUAGCUAGUUGGUAAGGUAACGGCUUACCAAGGCAACGAUACGUAGCCGACCUGAGAGGGUGAUCGGCCACACUGGAACUGAGACACGGUCCAGACUCCUACGGGAGGCAGCAGUAGGGAAUCUUCCGCAAUGGGCGAAAGCCUGACGGAGCAACGCCGCGUGAGUGAUGAAGGUCUUAGGAUCGUAAAACUCUGUUGUUAGGGAAGAACAAAUUUGUUAGUAACUGAACAAGUCUUGACGGUACCUAACCAGAA